Long non-coding RNA from Triplophysa rosa, 1502 nucleotides. RefSeq lists it as uncharacterized. The transcript has 3 exons. NCBI's taxonomy places the organism in Eukaryota, Metazoa, Chordata, Actinopteri, Cypriniformes, Nemacheilidae. The record is from RefSeq and is a predicted model, not a curated record.
AACGUCCCGUACACUUAGACCUGAAGCUUUCCAAGCUGUCAUAUAGGUGAACGCUGCGCGCCGACAUUGUGUCCAUCGCCAGUGAACUGUCCGUGUGAACUGCAGAACGUUUAAACCAUCGCAAAUCGCUUAGAAUUUGAGGAACUCUGCACACGAUACCUCCGUUAGGAGACUACUGCGCCCCCUGCUGAUAUGGGUAUGAAAAUGCUUCAGUGCUUCCCUUUCUACAGACGCUGCAAAGAAAGGUGCAAAAGACAAUGCCCACCAGACACAGUAGCACGUGAAGAUGUGAAAACACGACUGUCAUCCACUACCUCCUGGGGCAGUGAAGGAGACAGCAGCUGCCCGCAAGCCUAUUUUUCCCACAAGGCCCGGCUCUCUCUCCGACACCAGAUGGACAGCAACAUCAAUGCUGUGGACGCAACAUACUAACUCAUUACUGCAAGCGGUCUAUAGAGAAUCCUUGAAUGUGAACUUCUGUUUCAGUCUCAUUCAGUUUACAUCUCUACACUGAGAGUUUUUGAGGGAAACUGGAGGACGAGGUGUUGAGAGGAUGGAACAACCAGCAUGAGAGCUAUAGUGCUGUAAUUUUCAGUACCACGAAGCAUGCUCACAGGCAGACAUAAUGUCAGCUAUACUGCAAAAAUGUCAAGAUCAGUGUUUAGGCUCUGCAUAAUGGUACAGCCGAGUAUAAAUUGGUGAAAGGGGAAAUGGUACAAAAAACUUGAGUGAUGUUUACAUGAUCACUAACAACACGUUCUUUGUGUAGCACUUGCCUUCUUCUCUACACAUGCAUCUACAGUAUCUGUCUGAUUUUAAGCUGGGUACGUAUUGGUUUUUGUUUGUUUGUUUUUAAGGAUCCAACUAGUUUACUCUGGGCUAGAUACAAUAAGUGUCGACUUAUUUCACCAGUUAAAAUGAACAAUGCUUUGCAUCACUCAUCAUAAAUUGAGUGUACACUGUAAGAGCAAAUGAAUGUUUUUUUCUUUAACAUAAAUAGAAAGGUUUUUAAAGCUUAUGUGGCUUUCCUUACAACUGCCAUUUAACCGCUAGAAGCUAUACCAGUGUUUCACACCAAGAACUACUAACUUUAAUAUCAUUUCAAGAUAACAAAGCUCCAAGAACUUAAGUAUUAAUAUGCAGUUGGCCCAGUUUGUAAUUCUUUAUACGUUUUUUUUUGUAUUGCGCAUACAAAGUGAGGUGUUGGUCAAGAUUCAUUUAUUUCUUUUGCCACAAACGUUUGUGCAUCUAACUCUGUUUACUUUGUUUGUCUUGUGUAUGUUAAGGGGUUUUAUAAGUUAAAAAUACUUAUUUCUGUUCCUAACCCAAAAAUUGACAGAGAAUUCUGUUAACACUCCUGUAUAGUCAAAUAAUUAAUACUGUUAAAAGAUUUCUAAAGAAGGUAUUUUUGUAUGUUUUGUAUAAAAUUAUGUAUGUAAAUCCAGUUUUCACAAAAAGUAAAAUAGCAAUGAUAAAGAAUAAUAAAGUGAAACAUCACAACA